Molecule: ribosomal RNA, 800 nt
Filed under: uncultured Bacillota bacterium
Lineage: Bacteria; Bacillati; Bacillota
Description: bacterial SSU rRNA
Rfam family: Bacterial small subunit ribosomal RNA
Source: RNAcentral
UUCGGAGAAGAGCGGCGGACGGGUGAGUAACGCGUGGGUAACCUGCCCUGUACACACGGAUAACAUACCGAAAGGUAUGCUAAUACGGGAUAAUGUACUUUUGUCGCAUGGCAGAAGUAUCAAAGCUCCGGCGGUACAGGAUGGACCCGCGUCUGAUUAGCUAGUUGGAGAGGUAAUGGCUCACCAAGGCAACGAUCAGUAGCCGACCUGAGAGGGUGAUCGGCCACAUUGGAACUGAGACACGGUCCAAACUCCUACGGGAGGCAGCAGUGGGGAAUAUUGCACAAUGGGCGAAAGCCUGAUGCAGCAACGCCGCGUGAGCGAUGAAGGCCUUCGGGUCGUAAAGCUCUGUCCUCAAGGAAGAUAAUGACGGUACUUGAGGAGGAAGCCCCGGCUAACUACGUGCCAGCAGCCGCGGUAAUACGUAGGGGGCUAGCGUUAUCCGGAAUUACUGGGCGUAAAGGGUGCGUAGGUGGUUUCUUAAGUCAGAGGUGAAAGGCUACGGCUCAACCGUAGUAAGCCUUUGAAACUGAGAAACUUGAGUGCAGGAGAGGAGAGUAGAAUUCCUAGUGUAGCGGUGAAAUGCGUAGAUAUUAGGAGGAAUACCAGUUGCGAAGGCGGCUCUCUGGACUGUAACUGACACUGAGGCACGAAAGCGUGGGGAGCAAACAGGAUUAGAUACCCUGGUAGUCCACGCCGUAAACGAUGAGUACUAGGUGUCGGGGGUUACCCCCCUCGGUGCCGCAGCUAACGCAUUAAGUACUCCGCCUGGGAAGUACGCUCGCAAGAGUGAAACUCAA